GGGGUGUUAGUAAACCAAUUACAUGGCCCUGUCAAAGCCAAACCAUAGGUGAAACCCCUAUACACCCCU
RNAcentral lists this transfer RNA (69 nucleotides) under Amazona ventralis. Its description in RNAcentral is "tRNA-Asp". Lineage: Eukaryota; Metazoa; Chordata; Aves; Psittaciformes; Psittacidae. The record is from RNAcentral.